Molecule: long non-coding RNA, 4314 nt
Filed under: Malus domestica (apple)
Lineage: Eukaryota; Viridiplantae; Streptophyta; Magnoliopsida; Rosales; Rosaceae
Description: long non-coding RNA (MDOM_LNC019405)
Source: RNAcentral
UAAACUGAAUAGGUUCUCCACCUCUUCUGAUUAGCUUGGGUAACCAUGACAUACUGCUAGGUGUCACUCAUGGUUUGUGGAAGCCCUAAACGUGUAUAAUCACUAAAGGGAGAAUUGAAAGUAAGUUUCAAUUCACAAUCGAUUUGAAAGAGUUCUUAAUCGCCCACUGCCUCGCUAAAAGGAACCUAAUGGAUCGUACACCGUGUAAGGUAGAGAUUGAAGAAACAACGGAGAUGAGUAAGGAUAAUUAAAUGGUUUAAUUAUUUAUGGCAAGGAUUAAUUAAUAUGUUAAUUAAUCAAACGAAUAAAGUUCGUUAAAGACCUCGGGUUAGUUUUGGGCCUUCAAGGCCCAAUGGGCUUCGAACGUCAAGCCCAUUGACUUAAGUUGUAUGACAACUUAAUGAAUAAUAAUUCACAAAGGCCCAAAUAGCCCAAUAAAACCCUAUGGCCGGCCAUAUUGAUAAAUGAGUGGGUUUUGGACUUAUUACAAGUUUGCCACUCCAAUGAAUGUAAGGUAUAAAAUAUGACUUUAUAGCCAAAAUUCAUUUAGGGUUUCUUUUGGGAGAAAAGAUGAGAACAAAAGCUCUCCUUUCUCUCUAAAGAGGCCGGCCACCCUUGGAAAGGAACAUAGCUAGCAAUCUUACUUCCCUAAGGUCACUCAUUUCUUCAUCAAUCCUUUAUUGGUGUGGAGACUUAGAGGUUCUCAACUUUGAGAACUUGGAGAAACCAAUUCUUCCAUCCAAAUCCAUGGAGCUAAGAAGCAAGGAAUGAAGGCCCUAUCUCUUGGGUGAUUAUCCUUUGCUUAUGCAAAGAGGAAUCAACAAAGGUAUAAAUUUCUCAACUCACUUUGUUUUGAGUUGAGUCUUGGUUCACCGAACUACUAGGCUUUGAAUUUCAUGGGUAAUGUUUUGUUUUGAGUGCAUACAAGCAUGAUUCCGCCUUUAAUUUGUUAAUUGCAUGCUAUAGAUGUUGCUCAAAUGAACAUGUUUUUUACAAAAUUUCCUUCAUAAUCACCCUUGUCCCAUUCAUUAUUUCAAAUUUCAUGCAUCAUUACAUUGUUAACUAGUGAUGUCACGGUUAAUUUGGAGCAUUGUCGUUCAUAAUUUAAUGAAGUAGUAACUGGAAAUCGAGUUAUUUGCAUACAUGUCAUGUGUGGAGAAAAAGCCUCUAGCUAUCCCAUCCAUCAUCUUAUUUCUCACAUUCGGUUUACAAUCUGUCUAGUUUUUCAUACUUGUUUGUUUGUUUCAACUUCAUCCAAAUCAAAACCCCCCUUUUAGUUUCUUGUUUCAAAGUGUUUCAAAUCUGUUUUAGUUUGUGUUUUUAAGUGUUUUGAUUCAAGUAAAAGUCAAUUUUCGUCCAAAGUCAUUCCUAGUGUCUAGUUUAAGUUUAUUUGGUUGUUUUAAGUUGUUUUGAUUAUUUUUAGUUUGCUUUGAGUCUUGUGAGUCUUGUUAAGUGUUUUUAAAUUUAGUUUUAUGUUUUUGAAUUAGUUUAGAGGUUAUUAGCAAGCCCUCCUAAUCCCCGGUCCAGAACGAUCCCUACUUAUACUUGUACUACAAUUGUCAAAAGAGGGUUAAAUUUGUGUGUUAAGGUAAUUUUCACUAGGGGUGGGUUUGGUUCAAAUCGGUUUGGUUUUUUGCCAAAACCGAAACCGAACCAAAAUUUCGGUUCGGUUCGGUUUGGUUCAAUUUGUUUUCGGUUUUUUUCGGUUCGGUUUUUUUUCGGUUUGGUUUUUUCCGGUUCGGUUUCGUUUUUUUUUCAAAAAAUGAAAAAAUUUGAAAUCUUAAAUUUUAACAUAUCCAACACAAUCAUAACAUAAAUAUUCCGACUAAACUUAAAGAUAAUGAAAAUAAAUAUUUAAAGUUCAACUAGAAUUAUAACAUAAAGGUUUUUUUAAAUAUUUUGGGUUUAAAGUUUAACUGUAAAUAGAUUUCUUUUUAGACGAUGAUGAUGGAGUACGACCUUAUUCAUUCCUCUCUUUCUCUCAAUCUCUCUCUCUCUAUAUAUACAUGUAUUCUUCACUAGCAAUAAGAUAAACAUUCUAUAAUAUACUAUUUAUUUUGGUUAUUGUCUAGGUAACAAUUUUUUAUAUAUUUUCUUUAUCUUUAUGGUCCGAAUUUUUUUUAUCCAUAUAUGUGGUUACAUAAUAUAAUUUCUACAUUCUGUGUUCAGCUUCUACCACCAGCAAAUUUUGAAGAGGUGUUCAUCAAUAUUUUUGAAUAUAUUGAUAUACUUUUCAAAAUUGUUAGGCCAAGGAAGCUACCAUACUUGGCCAUAGGUGAGAAAGUUUGAAUUUUGUUUUUGAUCUCGUAAUGUUUAAUAAACUCAUGAGACUUUUAUACGCUGUUUGCUUUCCCUAAUCAACUGCAGUGCAGUUGAGAUAUGUGUUCUUAUAUAUGUGUUGCACUUAAUGAUAUAAACUAGAAAUAUUGCAUGUAAUGGUAUAAGUUCUAAUUUUUGUUGUAGAUGGAGAAGCUAAGACAAUUUGAAUUGGAAAGCAAACAAGUCCUACCAAAGCAGCAGUCCGAAGUAUCAUAUUCUAAUAUAAUAAAAUCAAAUAAUUAAAUAAAUAAAAUUAAAAAAAUAUUAAUUUAAUUAUUUCGGUUCGGUUCGGUUUCUAGACCACCAAAACCGAACCGAACCAAAAGAGUUUGGUUCGGUUCGGUUUUUCAAUUAGGUUCGGUUUUUUCGUUCGGUUCGGUUUUUUUGGUUUCGGUUCGGCUCGGUUUUUGGUUUUUUUCGGUUUUCGGUUUUUUGAACCCACCCCUAAUUUUCUCAUCAAGUUUUUGGCGGCGUUGCCGGGGAUUAGCAACUUUGCUAAUCCCUUGUUAUUUCUUUUUGUUUAUUUUCGUGUCUUUUGUUUUUAGUUACUGACUUUGUUUCUGUUUGUGUUUUUUUUUUUUUUGGUUUUACUUUUGAUAUUUGAUUUAGUUUUGUUUCCUUGAUUUCGGGUACUAGAGAAGUAAGACAUGGAUUUUGUUACCAUUCAAGCUCAAUUGGCAGAACUUACUUCUCAAUUGUCACAAUAUGCCGAAAGGAACACAAUGCAAAGUGUCCCUACAAUGGUGUGUCAUAUGGGCAAGGAUAUCCAACUCAACAAUAUUUUCAAUUCGCUGCGAAUGAAGAUGCUUGGGAUUAUGAAGGCCAUAGCCAAUCAUGGGACAACAUGUUUUCCAAUGCUUACAAUUCGGAUUGGAGAGAUUAUUCAGAUUACAUAGAACCUCUUCGAAAUGUGCCCUAAAACCAAUCAUAUGAUGAUACUUUACGGACAUUUCACAUGUUAAACUAAUCUAGUUUAAUGUCAAGGGCAAAUAUUAUUGUUUUAAGCCGUCUCAUAUAAAUGUUAUAUGCUUAAACGAUAAGUCCAAGGAAUAUGUAAUUGGGAGAAUGUAAUUUAAACAAGUUAGAUUAAUGAGACCAUUCUCUUUCGUAUACAUAUCCUAAACGUUCCUGAUCAUAGGAUUGCCAAUUGGGCAUUGACAGUCCGUUAAGAUCAGUACGUGAUGUGUCUUCUCUCAUGGAGAGAUACUGGUCUCGAGUCAUUGGUGUGAUUGACACCAAGACAAGCAUGUAGGUCCUUAAUAGAGAAUGAGUCCACUGAACACGAUCAAUGAGCAGUUCUUAUACUCAUGUCACAUGAGAACUCAUGGUUGGGAUAAUGCAAAGUAGUCCUUUGAUCUGAGGCAUCAUAGUUGUCUUGUGGUUUGGUACUUGAUCUUUGACUAUGUCAAAGUCACCUCGUCAGAGGGUGUCCACGACAUAGUUGGGGUUAAGCCACUUAGCCAUGGAGGCAAGUGAAUGCGCAACAAGGGAUCUCUAACCUUCAAACCAUUUGAGGGAGAAUACUCUAUGAUAUGAUUAAGAAUCUCUGGCCAGAGUAUGAAUGAGAUUUAGGAAGUCGUUCCAAAUCACAUUCAAGGUAAUCAUAUAAGUAAAUGAAUCACAUUGGAUAGUAGACAUGAAUAAACUAUCAAACCAAACAAUGUGAUCAAGAGUAUUGUAUUAGAGAAAGACCGUAUUGCAUUGUAAUCCUAAACUGAAUAGGUUCUCCACCUCUUCUGAUUAGCUUGGGUAACCAUGACAUACUGCUAGGUGUCAUUCAUGGUUUGUGGAAGCCCUAAAUGUGUAUAAUCACUAAAGGGAGAAUUGAAAGUAAGUUUCAAUUCACAAUCGAUUUGAAAGAGUUAUAAUCGCCCACUGCCUCGCUAAAAGGAACCUAAUGGAUCGUACACCGUGUAAGGUAAAGAUUGAAGAAACAAAGGAGAUGAGUAAGAAUAAUUAAAUGGUUUGAUUAUUUAUUUAUGGCAAGGAUUAAUU